GCUGACACAUCCCGGCCAAUCUCCAGCAGACCCUCCCUCCCAGACCCUCCUACUUCCUGGACAGCAUCCAUGUUGAAGCUGCCUUCAACAUGGAUGCUGUCCAGGAAGUAGGAGGGUCUGGGAGGGAGGGUCUGCUGGAGAUUGGCCGGGAUGUGUCAG
RNAcentral lists this microRNA precursor (159 nucleotides) under Pelobates cultripes (western spadefoot toad). The record is from RNAcentral. Lineage: Eukaryota; Metazoa; Chordata; Amphibia; Anura; Pelobatidae.